GGGGUUGUGGCUCAGUGGCAGAGUGAUUGCCUAGCAUGUGAGAGGCACUGGGUUUGAUUCUCAGAACCCCA
This 71-nucleotide transfer RNA is filed under the name Ictidomys tridecemlineatus (thirteen-lined ground squirrel). RNAcentral describes it as "Spermophilus tridecemlineatus (thirteen-lined ground squirrel) tRNA". It matches the Rfam family "tRNA". From Rfam's summary of the family: Transfer RNA (tRNA) molecules are approximately 80 nucleotides in length. Lineage: Eukaryota; Metazoa; Chordata; Mammalia; Rodentia; Sciuridae. The record is from Rfam by way of RNAcentral.